Long non-coding RNA from Anguilla rostrata (American eel), 1247 nucleotides. RefSeq lists it as uncharacterized. The transcript has 6 exons. Lineage: Eukaryota; Metazoa; Chordata; Actinopteri; Anguilliformes; Anguillidae. The record is from RefSeq and is a predicted model, not a curated record.
UUCACCACACCUCGCUUUAAGUAUUACUUGUAGCAAAAAGAAAAUAAAAAAGCAGCGUUAGAAUAUUUUAUUUCGCAGUUUAUUCAAAUGCUUUUGGAAUCUACCAGUUUGUAAUAACUGCAUGGAUAACUAGUAGAUAUGAUGCACUGACAACAUGAUUCUGUCUUUAUUUCAACUGACGUGUUUCUUGGCUCUCGGCCACUGCUGUGCCAAUCUAACAGUUCGACAAUUCCCCGAGUCUGUGCACUCGAAGGAGGGCGCGAGCGUCAACUUCAGCUGUACGGUUACUUAUAAUGUCACCACUGUCGAAAUGGUUACUGUGGAAUGGUACUUGGAACAGUCUCGAACAAUUUCAUAUGAACGCUAUGAUGAACCAGAAAGCCAGGGGUUUACCUCUGUCCUAUCUCUUCAUUCGGUCCAACGGAAUCAGAGUGGAAAAUAUUUUUGUAACGCGUCCGUACUUAUACCCUGCAUUGACCAGGGAAGUGGAAGUGGUACUAGUCUCACAGUAGAAGUUUUAACGUCUCCAGGUACCAUAAGUGAAUCCUCUUCUUCAGCCGUCGUUUGGACGUCACUAUUGGCUGCAGUUCUGGCAGUGGGAAUAGGCUGUGUGAUCUACAGCAAACGUAAAGGGAAUAAAAGAACCGCUUCGACAGGACAGGAAACCGAUUGCCCGACGCCAGUCACUACUGAGGUUUUUUAUGCAAAGGUCAACAUUAGGAAUUCCAGCACUCGUGACAGAAGCAACAGCGAUCACAGCGAAGCACAGUACUGUAACACGCCCCAAGUUGGAAAGAUGACACUGGAUUCAGGAUGCUUGAGACCUGCUGUUGCGGAUAAUGUUGUAUACAGUACAUUGAAUGUUCCAAAUCUUUCAAUCGGAGCUAGUAAUUUGCAUUGAGUCAUACAUAGAACAUUUACUAGAAUAUUUUUGGGGUAUUUUAGUUUUCUGUUAUUAUUCCUUCAACAGUAUACCAAAUAUUUUUAAUUCUCUGAUUCCAAACAAAUACAUUUCCAAAUAAAAUACAAAUAUGUGCUUUGCCAUCAGAUCUAGUUGUUUUUUUGCCAGCUACAUCCCAAAUUUCUGUCCUUCAGUUGUAAAUUGAAAAAUAAAAAUGAACAUUGAAAAAUAGCAUAAUAUUGUUUGUACAAUCUGUUUUUUUUCAUUUGUUUCUUCAGGUUUAUACCUCCUCAAAUUGUAGGGACAUUGCUACCACUAUGCGCGAUUGAAAUUGAUCUUCCACACA